AGGAAAGGAUAAAGCCAAGAUGGCACAUUUCAGAAAACUGUUGUACAGAGGAACCUUUAACAAAACAGAGCAAAGGUGUAAGGAGUGGUGAAAAGAACACCUCUCCUCUGAAGUCUGAAACAGAGCAACAUGAAUUGAAACCAGGCAGAAGUAUACCCAGGGGAUGAAAAGGAGAUACGAUGAUUUUCCUGACCCAUCACCUUCUCGUGGUGACAUUCCCUUCCUCCUCUAAACUCCUCAAACUCUGAGACAGAUUCCUAGUGGGAAAAAGAAUUGCAUCUGCUUCUGCCUGUGGCCACUUCUCUUAUAACAGGCCUUGUGAUUUUAUUUGAAGACGGUAUUCUCAUUGAGUCUUGAGACAAUAGGCAGAUAAGGACCCAUCCAUAAUUCUUGGCUGGAACAGCUCUGUGGUCCCUCACUAAGCUGCCCUCCUGUCAGAAAUGGAGCACUCGGAUGCCUGGAAUCUAUAAAUAUAUGAGUCAAGGAGGAUAUCAGAGAUCAUGUAUU
Non-coding RNA from Odocoileus virginianus texanus, 507 nucleotides. The record is from RefSeq and is a predicted model, not a curated record. Lineage: Eukaryota; Metazoa; Chordata; Mammalia; Artiodactyla; Cervidae.